AUGCUUGUCUCAAAGAUUAAGCCAUGCAUGUCUAAGUACAUACCUUUGCACGGUGAAACCGCGAAUGGCUCAUUAAAUCAGUUAUGGUUUCUUAGAUCGUUCUUUUUACAUGGAUAACUGUGGUAAUUCUAGAGCUAAUACAUGCAAAAAGCUCCGACCGUAUGGGAAGAGCGCUUUUAUUAGACCAAAACCAAUGGGGUCGCAAGACUCCUUUGUAUGGUGACUCUGGAUAACUUUAUGCUGAUCGCAUGGCCUAGAGCCGGCGACGUAUCUUUCAAGUGUCUGACCUAUCAACUUUCGAUGGUAAGCGAUUUGCCUACCAUGGUUGCAACGGGUAACGGGGAAUA
RNAcentral lists this ribosomal RNA (347 nucleotides) under uncultured fungus. Its description in RNAcentral is "SSU rRNA". It matches the Rfam family "Eukaryotic small subunit ribosomal RNA", at positions 28 to 371 of the family's 1831-position model. Lineage: Eukaryota; Fungi. The record is from RNAcentral.